Molecule: RNA transcript, 1426 nt
Organism: Magnolia sinica
Lineage: Eukaryota; Viridiplantae; Streptophyta; Magnoliopsida; Magnoliales; Magnoliaceae
Gene name: chloroplastic group IIB intron splicing facilitator CRS2, chloroplastic-like
Exons: 10
Source: RefSeq, a predicted model, not a curated record
GCCUCUCCCAUUUCAGACGAGUGUCUUCUUCAUCUCCAUUCAUUGGGAAUUGCUUAAAUCCCCACAAAGAAGCUUAAAAUUACCAAGGAAUCAAACCAACAACCACUACAAGCAGGUGAAUUUUCCAGCCCGGAAGAAGGUCAAUGUUGCAUGCAAUCUCAGUUCCUAGCACCUGUAUCUCAUACCGAAGGAGCCCUGUUAUACGGAGAUGUGUAAUUUCCACCAAGCGUAGGGUAUCUGCUUCAUUGCCUGAUCCUGAUGAAGUUAAAUUGGAGUAUACACCGUGGCUUAUUGUUGGAUUGGGAAAUCCUGGAAAUAAAUAUCACGGAACCAGGCACAAUGUUGGCUUUGAAAUGAUCGAUCAUAUUUCUCAAAAAGAAGGCAUUUCUAUGAAUACAAUACAGUCAAAGGCCUUAAUUGGAAUAGGUUCCAUUGGAGAGGUACCCGUUUUAUUGGCAAAGCCUCAAGCAUAUAUGAAUUUCAGUGGAGAAUCAGUGGGACCACUUGCUUCAUAUUAUCAAGUGCCUCUGCGUCAUAUCUUAGUGGUUUAUGAUGAGAUGAGCUUGCCAAAUGGAGUCAUGAGGCUUCAACCAAGAGGAGGACAUGGCCAUCAUAAUGGGCUGAAGAGUGUCAUGGAUCAUUUGGAUGGUUCCCGCAAUUUUCCUCGCUUGUGCAUCGGUAUUGGGAACCCUCCAGGGACAAUGGACCUGAAAGCUUUUCUUCUCCAGAAGUUCAGUUCACAAGAGCGUAAGCAGGGUUGAAUGCAGGACAUAAUUGGACUGAAAGCCACAGUCGCAGCAGCAACAGCCCCAUGCUGUAGCAGCACUACCUUACUAGCACUGAAAGGAGGAAGAGUAGAUUGAAAAAAGGAAGACCGGGAAGGAGAAGGAAGACACAGGAAAAAGAAAAAAUGAGAAGAGUGGACGUUGCUCUAGAACAAGGGGUGGAUGCCGCGAUGACUCUAGUACUCAAAGGCUUCGACAGCUACAUCAACCGAUUCAAUCUGGGGCAGAAGUACAAGUAUCACAAAGUUUGAAAAGAGACCCAUCAAUCUUGUGGCCUAUCAAAUGAUCAGCUAAUGAACAGUGCCAUCAAAUGUUUGGACAAGAUCCAUAUAUCUAUGUAACUGCAGGUAUGUCUCUAACAGGUGAAAUGUACAAGAUACAUAUCUCAUAUCACAAGAUCUGCGAUCCAAAAAGUAGAAAUGAUAUGAUGGAGAUGUCUCUGACAUGAUAUAAUAGAGCCUGCUUCCACCGCCUGCAUGAAAGGGGAAUGGUGGAUCUGGGCCAUCCACCUAGUAGGCUCUGCUAUGAAUAGCGUGUGUUUGGAAACCAUUCCAUUAAGAUCCUAUUAAUCACUUUCAGUCGCCUUGCUUGAGCCAUUUGGGAAGCUAGAAAUGGUUGGAAAUGAAAUCAAUUUCUGUGGA